RNAcentral lists this ribosomal RNA (766 nucleotides) under uncultured Bacteroidota bacterium. RNAcentral describes it as "bacterial SSU rRNA". It matches the Rfam family "Bacterial small subunit ribosomal RNA", at positions 78 to 845 of the family's 1533-position model. The record is from RNAcentral. Lineage: Bacteria; Pseudomonadati; Bacteroidota.
CUUUUGAUGGGCGUCGACCGGCGCACGGGUGAGUAACGCGUAUCCAACCUGCCCAUCACUUGGGGAUAACCUUGCGAAAGUAAGACUAAUACCCAAUGACUUCUCUAGAAGACAUCUGAAAGAGAUUAAAGAUUUAUCGGUGAUGGAUGGGGAUGCGUCUGAUUAGCUUGUUGGCGGGGUAACGGCCCACCAAGGCUACGAUCAGUAGGGGUUCUGAGAGGAAGGUCCCCCACAUUGGAACUGAGACACGGUCCAAACUCCUACGGGAGGCAGCAGUGAGGAAUAUUGGUCAAUGGACGAGAGUCUGAACCAGCCAAGUAGCGUGCAGGAUGACGGCCCUAUGGGUUGUAAGCUGCUUUUAUAAGGGAAUAAAGUGAGUCUCGUGAGACUUUUUGCAUGUACCUUAUGAAUAAGGACCGGCUAAUUCCGUGCCAGCAGCCGCGGUAAUACGGAAGGUCCGGGCGUUAUCCGGAUUUAUUGGGUUUAAAGGGAGCGUAGGCCGGAGAUUAAGCGUGUUGUGAAAUGUAGAUGCUCAACAUCUGCACUGCAGCGCGAACUGGUUUCCUUGAGUACGCACAAAGUGGGCGGAAUUCGUGGUGUAGCGGUGAAAUGCUUAGAUAUCACGAAGAACUCCGAUUGCGAAGGCAGCUCACUGGAGCGCAACUGACGCUGAAGCUCGAAAGUGCGGGUAUCGAACAGGAUUAGAUACCCUGGUAGUCCGCACGGUAAACGAUGGAUGCCCGCUGUUGGUCUGAAUAGGUCAGCG